AACGCACCUUGCGCUCCUUGGUAUUCCGAGGAGCAUGCCUGUUUGAGUGUCAUUAAAUUCUCAACCUUAUUAGCUUUUGCUGAUAAUGGCUUGGACUUGGGGGUCUUUUUGCUGGCUUUCAUUAGUCUGCUCCCCUUAAAUGUAUUAGCCGGUGCCCCGCAGUGGAACCGUCUAUUGGUGUGAUAAUUAUCUACGCCGUGGACGUCUGCUAUAAUGGGUUUGCGCUGCUUCUAACCGUCUCUCGGGACAACAUAAAUGACAAUUUGACCUCAAAUCAGGUAGGACUACCCGCUGAACUUAA
Molecule: unclassified non-coding RNA, 301 nt
Filed under: uncultured Agrocybe
Lineage: Eukaryota; Fungi; Basidiomycota; Agaricomycetes; Agaricales; Bolbitiaceae
Description: partial contains 5.8S ribosomal RNA, internal transcribed spacer 2, and large subunit ribosomal RNA
Rfam family: 5.8S ribosomal RNA (bases 1-52)
Source: RNAcentral